GGCUUCGUAGCUUAGCUGGUAGAGCGCUUGGCGCGUUAUGGCAUGAUGUAUCUGUGGCUGGUUCGAAUGCAGCCGAAGUCC
Molecule: transfer RNA, 81 nt
Filed under: Paragonimus skrjabini miyazakii
Lineage: Eukaryota; Metazoa; Platyhelminthes; Trematoda; Plagiorchiida; Troglotrematidae
Description: Paragonimus miyazakii tRNA
Rfam family: tRNA
About the family: Transfer RNA (tRNA) molecules are approximately 80 nucleotides in length. Their secondary structure includes four short double-helical elements and three loops (D, anti-codon, and T loops).
Source: Rfam by way of RNAcentral